GACGAACGCUGGCGGCGUGCUUAACACAUGCAAGUCGAGCGGUAAGGCCCUUUCGGGGGUACACGAGCGGCGAACGGGUGAGUAACACGUGGGUGACCUGCCCUUAGCUCUGGGAUAAGCCUGGGAAACUGGGUCUAAUACCGGAUAUGACUCCAUGACGCAUGUUGUGGGGUGGAAAGCCUUGUGCGGCUAGGGAUGGGCCCGCGGCCUAUCAGCUUGUCGGUGGGGUGAUGGCCUACCAAGGCGACGACGGGUAGCCGGCCUGAGAGGGCGACCGGCCACACUGGGACUGAGACACGGCCCAGACUCCUACGGGAGGCAGCAGUGGGGAAUCUUGCGCAAUGGGCGAAAGCCUGACGCAGCGACGCCGCGUGAGGGAUGACGGCCUCGGUU
RNAcentral lists this ribosomal RNA (393 nucleotides) under uncultured bacterium. Its description in RNAcentral is "bacterial SSU rRNA". It matches the Rfam family "Bacterial small subunit ribosomal RNA", at positions 28 to 424 of the family's 1533-position model. The record is from RNAcentral.